GAUGAACGCUGGCGGCGUGCCUAAUACAUGCAAGUCGAGCGAACAGAUGAGGAGCUUGCUCCUCUGACGUUAGCGGCGGACGGGUGAGUAACACGUGGAUAACCUACCUAUAAGACUGGGAUAACUUCGGGAAACCGGAGCUAAUACCGGAUAAUAUAUUGAACCGCAUGGUUCAAUAGUGAAAGACGGUUUUGCUGUCACUUAUAGAUGGAUCCGCGCCGCAUUAGCUAGUUGGUAAGGUAACGGCUUACCAAGGCAACGAUGCGUAUCCGACCUGAGAGGGUGAUCGGCCACACUGGAACUGAGACACGGUCCAGACUCCUACGGGAGGCAGCAGUAGGGAAUCUUCCGCAAUGGGCGAAAGCCUGACGGAGCAACGCCGCGUGAGUGAUGAAGGUCUUCGGAUCGUAAAACUCUGUUAUUAGGGAAGAACAAAUGUGUAAGUAACUAUGCACGUCUUGACGGUACCUAAUCAGAAAGCCACGGCUAACUACGUG
This 497-nucleotide ribosomal RNA is filed under the name uncultured bacterium. RNAcentral's name for it is "partial 16S ribosomal RNA". It matches the Rfam family "Bacterial small subunit ribosomal RNA", at positions 28 to 507 of the family's 1533-position model. The record is from RNAcentral.